UAUGGCCACAUCAUGUUCAAACACUGGUUCCCAUACGAUCACUGGAGUUAAGCAACAUUGAACAUGGUCAGUACCCAGAUGGGUGACCACUUGGGAAUACCAGGUGCU
Non-coding RNA from Acanthosepion pharaonis, 108 nucleotides. Lineage: Eukaryota; Metazoa; Mollusca; Cephalopoda; Sepiida; Sepiidae. The record is from the annotation of a GenBank genome assembly.